This 473-nucleotide ribosomal RNA is filed under the name uncultured bacterium. Its description in RNAcentral is "bacterial SSU rRNA". It matches the Rfam family "Bacterial small subunit ribosomal RNA", at positions 335 to 802 of the family's 1533-position model. The record is from RNAcentral.
ACUCCUACGGGAGGCAGCAGUGGGGAAUAUUGCACAAUGGGCGCAAGCCUGAUGCAGCCAUGCCGCGUGUGUGAAGAAGGCCUUCGGGUUGUAAAGCACUUUCAGUCGUGAGGAAGGUAGUGUAGUUAAUAGCUGCAUUAUUUGACGUUAGCGACAGAAGAAGCACCGGCUAACUCCGUGCCAGCAGCCGCGGUAAUACGGAGGGUGCGAGCGUUAAUCGGAAUUACUGGGCGUAAAGCGCAUGCAGGUGGUUUGUUAAGUCAGAUGUGAAAGCCCGGGGCUCAACCUCGGAAUAGCAUUUGAAACUGGCAGACUAGAGUACUGGUAGAGGGGGUAGAAUUUCAGGUGUAGCGGUGAAAUGCGUAGAGAUCUGAAGGAAUACCGGUGGCGAAAGGCGGCCCCUGGACAGAUACUGACACUCAGAUGCGAAAGCGUGGGAGCAAACAGGAUUAGAUACCCCUGGUAGACUGUCA